RNAcentral lists this transfer RNA (79 nucleotides) under Desulfurococcales archaeon. Its description in RNAcentral is "tRNA-Arg". It matches the Rfam family "tRNA". Rfam says of the family: Transfer RNA (tRNA) molecules are approximately 80 nucleotides in length. Lineage: Archaea; Thermoproteati; Thermoproteota; Thermoprotei; Desulfurococcales. The record is from RNAcentral.
GGGCCCGUAGCUCAGCCAGGACAAGAGCGCCGGCCUUCGGAGCCGGAGGUCCCGGGUUCAAAUCCCGGCGGGCCCGCCA